This 498-nucleotide ribosomal RNA is filed under the name uncultured bacterium. RNAcentral's name for it is "partial 16S ribosomal RNA". It matches the Rfam family "Bacterial small subunit ribosomal RNA", at positions 30 to 523 of the family's 1533-position model. The record is from RNAcentral.
AUUGAACGCUGGCGGCAUGCUUUACACAUGCAAGUCGAACGGCAGCGCGGGGCAACCUGGCGGCGAGUGGCGAACGGGUGAGUAAUACAUCGGAACGUACCCAGAAGUGGGGGAUAACGUAGCGAAAGUUACGCUAAUACCGCAUACGUUCUACGGAAGAAAGUGGGGGAUCGCAAGACCUCUUGCUUUUGGAGCGGCCGAUGUCUGAUUAGCUAGUUGGUAGGGUAAAGGCCUACCAAGGCGACGAUCAGUAGCUGGUCUGAGAGGACGACCAGCCACACUGGGACUGAGACACGGCCCAGACUCCUACGGGAGGCAGCAGUGGGGAAUUUUGGACAAUGGGCGCAAGCCUGAUCCAGCAAUGCCGCGUGAGUGAAGAAGGCCUUCGGGUUGUAAAGCUCUUUUGUCAGGGAAGAAACGGCUGAGGAUAAUACCUUUGGCUAAUGACGGUACCUGAAGAAUAAGCACCGGCUAACUACGUGCCAGCCGCCGCCGUAA